AAGUUAGGGUUAGGGUUAAGGUUUUUAAAAUUAUAAAAUUUACAAUUUAUUAAUGGUCUAUAUGCUAUUUAUAAAUGACUAUUACACAUUAAUAAACUAUCUACUUACCAUUUAUAAAUGGUCUAUUUACCAUUUAUAAGGUAUGGUUAUUGUAAAGUGUUACCGUAAACAAUUUUGAGGGUCGCAAGUUAUUCACACCCUUUAGUUUUAAUGAGAAUAGUGCAAAGACAACGUAUCAAGGGUCAAAAUGGUACAAUGGGAUUGUUUCAUGAAAAAGACAUGCUCAUUUUAAAUUGAGAGUGUGGUUUGGGAUUGUGUUGCUGCAAAAUGCAAGGUCCUGGAUGGCAGCAUAUGUUGCUACAAAACCUGAAUUGUUAGGCAUUCAUGUUGCUUUCAAAGAUGUGUAGGUUUCCAACGUUAGGGUCAUCAUCACAGAUGUGCUGAUAAAAAGUCUGGAGGUCCUUGCACUUGCACUUGGCUUUAUAAGCACUAAGCUUUAUCAGUCUGUCUGAAACGGAUCGAGCUCAGGGGAGUCACUGGCAUUUCUGGUUUGUAGGUAUAAUGGUUUCCUCUUUGCACGGUACAUUUUGAACCUGCUUUUGUGGAUUGUCUGCCCACCAAUCAGCUGACUGACAUGGAUUAAAAUCAGAAGAGGCAUUAAGUAGCAGCUUUACUCACUGUAUCUAGUCCCCAGUCCGCCAGGUAUCAGCCGAAUUACACCACUAAAGAGCUCUGUUUGGCAUUACACACAUCACCCAAACCUUGGAGAGCUCUGUGUGCGUGGGCUCCUGUACAUCAGCAUGCUGCUGUGGUAAGAGAGGAAGCUUUGUCAAAGAAUCUGAAAGCCCUUUGAUAAACGCUGAGGGCCACCACCUUAACUCUCUCUCUCUCGCGCGCACACGCCGUCUCCCAAUCCCCCCCACCCACUUACUCCUAACCUCCUCCUCUCUAGAAAACUGAGUCAGAUGUGAUCAAAGGUACGUUUGAAUUGUUUCUCUGCCUCCAGGUCUUUGGUCAGAGCACUUGUUGUGUUUAAAAUAGAGCAAAAGGUGAAUCCUACCCCAGUAUUGAUCACUUUCAAUCCUACAUCUCUCUGAUAUAGUUUCAUCGUAUAUAAAGCGAAACAACUCCUUUAACUUGCAGUGUUAAAAUGAAACUUCCAGCAUAUAACUUCACACAUAGGAGUGUAACUUAAUAUACACCCAUACACUUGGCUGCAGCGGCACAUACACAAUCACACCUUCACACCAAAGAGAUCUAAUUUGGUAGUCAUCUCAAAUGGAGGCUGCAGAUAACACUAAAAACAACAACUUGUUCAUCAUGGAUAUCAAAAGUGACACACAGUUAGCACUUUAGGAUAUUCUUGGACUCAUUUCAUGCACCAUAAUGCAGCUUCUGUGAGGACCAGCAACUAUUAAUCUGAGCAAAAUUAGUGGUAUAUGAGAGACAGCUAAGUCGCCUUUGGAAAAACUUCCCCCUGCAUCUGUACAAAUGAAUAAAUUAAAGGGAAAUGGAUUUAUUCAUCGCAAUCCUUCACAACUCCAUCCUUGCCAUUUUGGAUUGUUUGCAUAUAUCAGAAGGACAAAAUAUACACAGCAAAACUGCAAAAUUGGUGUACAAUGAAUUUGGCUUCACACAUUUUCAAACAGUUAGAAAACAAAGCAUUCACACUACAGCUGCUGAAUAAUACAUCAGCCUUUUUUUCUGCAGGAAAGUGUUGACAUUAAAUACUGUGUGAUUAUAUAGAAGAACUUAGAGUCAUUACACACAGCACAAUGUUUUUGAGGAACCUCUUGUCAGAUUUUCUCGGUGCUCUCAUCCAUUUUCGUCUUUUAAUAAGCUGUCGACUCAGAGUUUUGUUGUCUGGUAUUACUCAUGCAGCUUCUAACUUUGAGUUUUGUGGCAGUCUGCCUUGGCUGUUGUUUUUAUGUACAUUGUCCAGUUCAUUCAAACUUACUUUAUCACUCUGCUCUCGCUGUGAUACGGCCAUCUUAUCAGCCUUCUGAUAUUCGACAAAAUCUGCAAAUCUCUGAAUUUCCACCAGGAGGAAAUCUCCUCUCGGGUCGGUAAAUCUCGUCAGGUGACCAGUACCUUCAAGUUAUGGUCUUUUUCCAAAUAGUAGUGAGUUAAAGAGAGGGCUUACUCUUUCACAGUUUUACUUGUAUUUUCUGGUUCAAAUGUGAUGAACUGAAUAAAGACGGUGGUUCUCUGUUUGCUUUGGGGCUGGAACUGUAUGAUGGUUUGUUAUUGUGUUGUUUCCUAAAGUAUAAAUAUGAAUAUUUAGAGAUAUCAAGCAGUCAGACACUGAAAUGAAAUGCUCUUCUACUCACUCCUUCCCUCACUGAAGUGAUGGUGGCCUUCGAGGAAAAAAAAAGCUUUUGUGAUGCAUGAUAAAUAUUAUCCCAAGUUUUCUUAGCCUUCAAAAUGUGCACCAAUAGAAAUUGUUUUGCACACAACAACAACCUCUCUCUUCUUUGUUUUCCUAACAGUACUACGAAAGCCAAUGUGUCUGAACAAUCUUUAUAAGGAGAAACGUGCUGCAAACGCAGAAACAAAACUUCAAAAGCACGUUGCAGAAAUCCAAAACAAACAAAAUGGAUGAAAUGCACUGCAAAUGAAAAACAAAAACAAAAAAAGUACUACUAAUACAAAGUGAAAAAACACAUAAACACAUAAAGCAAUUGCAAAAACUGUAAAAUAGCAGUGCUCCAGGCAGGUGGAGCUGGCUAACAAAGUAAAGGUGAGACAUUUUGACUUAGAAGUCGAUGUCUUGUCUUGGUCUGUGCGUGUUUUUGUGUCGCUGACAGACCUGUAAAUCGUGUGUGUCUCUGCGUUUGAAUGUAGAGCAUAAGCAGAACAAACGUAAUGCUUAAACAAAAUGCUUAAAUAAUUCAAAACAUCAGUAUUUUAAUUCAGUUAAACUUUGACUAAGGCUACGUUCACACUGCAGGUUAUGAUGCACAAAUUCAAUUUUAUGUUAAAUCCGAUCUUUUUGUUCAGUCGUUCACAUUACAACAACAACAAAUGCAGCAUCUAAUGUGAGCAGAAUGUGUCUGUGAAGUGACCCGGAUGCGCACAAAGCACAAAUUGCUUUCAGUGCCUGUUUGUGUUGUCGAACAAUGGUGAUGUUUGUCACAUAUUGAUGACGUAUAGGUCGGAUGAACGCGACCUGAUCGUCCACACUGCAGUCACAUCAGAUAUAUAUCCGAUUUAUAUACACAUACAAAUUGAGUAGUAGUCGCUAGAAUUAUUACGACAAUAUAAGAGAAUAAAGAUAGCAUUGAAACGGUCACUUUUUGUGCAAAGUUAGCAUUUGAUGGCCAUUUAUUUCAGUUUAAGUCAACUUUACAUGUCUUCAUUAGCAACUGAACAUUGAAAGUCACCACAGGCAAAGUCAGAGGACAAACUUUGAAGCAUGUGUCCCAGUCGGUUUUACUGGAUGUUUCAUGAGUUUCACAAAAUAUCAUCAGUUAAUCACUGCAACUUUUUUCAGAAGGCUGCCACAGAAUUUAGUAUUUUUGGCUGCAACAAUCUCAGAAAAGCUCAGCAAAGUCCUGGGGAUAGUAAUUCUCUGUGUUUAAGACCUGACAAUUGCACUUGACUUUUUCUAAUUUCCCCAUUUGAAUUCACAGUUAAAGAUCAAGAUGCUGAUCAAAGUGGGUGAUUGCUUUUGGAGAUCUUAUGGGCACCACUUUUGGGAAGUCCUAUAACUUGGUCCACAGGAGGAUCAGUUCUGCUAUCUCGAAAAUAAGCCGGAUGAUAUCAAAAUAUUUUAAUAUAAAAUGAAAUAUCAUUUAAAUAGUUAAAGCAUAGGACAGGACAGAAGCAAGAUAGAGAAGCUGAAUGAGACAACAGGAGGAUGUACCAAAAGUUUUGAAAGAUCAAAAGGGGAUUUUAACGCAUAUUUGUUUUUUUUAAGUGUGGAUGCAACAUCUGAUUUCUGAUGCUGCAUUCACAUAAGAAUCAAAAUGUGAACCCAAGAUUCAUGCUAUCUUCUAGCUUCAAUAAUCUCCAACUUCCUGAUUCUCUGACCUCACACCUGUAAACACCGUCUUUCCAGCAGGAUUUAGUCACAGUGAAUUCAAGAAGUCUAUCUCUGAGACAGUCGAGGCUUGUCCUGCCAGCUUUCUAAAACCACUGAAUCUCUUCAACCGUUUGCAUUUGUGUCCCAAAGCACAUGAGCAUCCAAGCUGUGUGCUUAUCUCUCCUUCUCCCCGGUUUCUCCUCCUCGUCCUCUCUUCCCACAUAGGCUUCUCUGUGCAGGACUAUCAACUGUCCUGGGACCCCUCCCUCUCCCCACUCCAGAUGUUUUGGAUCCAGAUAUUUGCCCUCAAAGAGAUUCAGCCUCCUCUCUCGUGUCUUCUUGUGUGCUCAUCGUCCUUGCCUCUCUCUCAUACUCUGUUUGCUCCCACUAUACCUGUGUGAAUGCUUGCAGAUAGUGGAUGCUAUAUCAGAGAGACAAUCAUAGUCAAGGAAAGUCCCAAAAAGUUAUUAAUUCAAUGCACGAGCCCGCUGGUAGAUUUAUUUAAUAUCUGUGAAAGCCUGCUUGAAUCAGUCAUUGACAAAAGGGAAGGUCAUAGCAGUAACAGUGUUGAACUGUGCCUGACAUCAGAUGCUGAGAAGUGAAGAGCGGCAAAGGCUUUCAUACAUCUUUUCAAGAGGUAAAUAAAAGACUGUUUUAAUCAAAAAAUGGAAGUGAGAAUUAUUUCAACCAAAACUUGGGUGUACUGCAGAUGAGGGCGGAUAAAGUACUUCAGUAAAGUAAUAACAUUUGAUUGAUAUAAUGCCGCACUCAACGUUUUCAAGUAUAUGGAUUUCACAGAUUUGAUUCAAACUCAACAUUUAGUGACUUGGAUACAGUAAUUAAAGGCUAAUAGUCAAACAUGACUUGGAUCAUCAUGGAUGCCAAGAAAUCGGGCAAAGUUAAAAAGAUGUUUGGUGGCUAGUGCUGUGGCUAGGACCCUAUAUGUACUGUUGAUGAAGUUAGGUGCUGUUCUGAACAUUAUUUGUGACUACAGAGUGGCGUUUUGGUUGAGGUUUGUUUAUGGCUCCUCAGACUGCUGUGUAUUGCUAUCGUGCGGUCAUGACUAAAGUUGGUAUAACUAGAGAAGCAAGUGGAAUAUCCCUUUAACACUGGGCAACUUUGAGCAACAUAUGCUGACCUCCAGGUAAUACUUAUUCUGGAAGGACCUUACAUAAUACUGCAAGAAGAUGUCAUAAUACAUUUUACAGAUAUCGCAAUGGCAAACUCAAACUCCAAAAAAUGGUCACCUGGGUUUCUAAACAUUUGCACUGUUGCUGGUAUCAAGUUUAUUUUUUGCAAAUCAAUCAAAUUUUUCAGUUUCAACUGUUAAUAUUUUGGACUUCACACACUUUUUGUCAUAAUAUGUUUUGGUACGUUAGUUCUGUCCUCGUGUUGUUUAUUUGAGUGCUUUUUCUGUGUAUUUUCCCUAGUGUUUCUGUUCCCUAUUGCUCCUGUUCCCCUGUAGUCCUGUCUUGUGAGUUUUCAGUUUGUGUCUGACUCUGUUUCCCUCAUGUUUUCAGUAUUUCAUUCUGUCGAUCAGUUUUCAGUUUUUCCUGUUUUAUUUUGUAGUAGCCCACCCUUGUGUGUAUAGUUUUGUUUUACUUCCUCAGUUUUCUUUCCCAAGUGUCUCACCUGCCUCUCGUUGAUCGUUUCCCUGUGUGUAUAUAUAGUCCCUGUUUUCCCCUGUUUCUUUGUUGGUUCAUUGUGUGUUUUUCAGUGUGUGCAUAUGCCUGUGUCCCUGGUUGCUCUCUGUGAUUUUGCCUCUAGUGAUUUUAUGUGGAUUUUGCCUUUUGGAUUUCGUCUUUUUGUUCCUUUUUUAUUUCGUUCUUUUAAAAUAAAUCAUUUUUUAUUCUGCAUUUUGGGCCCUUUCCCUUUUUGUUGAACUCAGGAGCAGGAAACUUUUAAAAGUCUAGAACUUUUAAUUAUAUUCAAACCAUCAAAAUCUGUUUUUGUGACCAUAGUAUACAACAUCCCAACUCUUACGGAAUCAAGGUUGUACAAGCUGAAAAACAAAAAAUAAAUAAAAAAUAAAAACAUUUUAAAUUGUUGGAAAACAUUAGAUGUUUCUUUGAAUCAUAUCAAAUCUGUAAAAAAAAAGAAUUAAGCGGGGCAUCCUGGAUCUAAAAAGGUGUUAGUUUGAGAUGUUCUUUGGAUGGUGAUUCAUGCAGUUACACAAAAACAAGAAAAGGUCUGAGGCACUCAAAGAUUACAGUUUCUUAGCACCUAUUUGACUUCCUCAUGGUUGAAAUGCAUUAUAGUUUGUUUUUAAUGUCUACAUGACCAUGCUAUGGCAAUAAAGCCCUUGGAUCGAUUCCCUGUUUGUCUUUCAACAGUCAUUCUGAAACACUUGCUCAUUUUAACCAGCUUGAGGACAGUUUUUGCUGGUAUUGACAACAAGAAAUAUGAUCAUGCACAAGGCCUCCAAGCUCCGCUCAGGGAGAAUAUUUUGCCUCACAUAAGAAGCCCUGAUCAGGUUUGAUGUAUAAGUGGAAGGUCAUCCUCUGAUAACCUCAGAAGAUUGCUUCUCUUGAUCUGACUAAGUGUGGAGGAUGGCACUCUGAUCACAGCCGUCUUCUGAAACCCGGUGAAGGCUGUUGAUCAAAUGUAGUGUGGAGUGUGUUUUUUAUCCAUACUCUGGAAGUUUUCUGGGAAAAAUCAAAAUCUAAAGAUGUAGCAGGGUUUAAAACAAGGGAAUAUAACCACUUAACUCUAUCUUUUUUGUAGCAGAUUCAAGAACCACAUCAAGAAUUUGUUGGAUUUGGACCAGAAGUGUACAGCAUUAGUCGGUUUUCCGUAGACCACUUGUUAUUAGCCCCUCUAACAGAAUUAUUUGGAUCAUCUUCAAAUCUGUCAGAUUAUACUUUUAUCAGUGCAAAUUGGUGUUAGCAAAGCAAUUAAAUUUUGACAGACUUCAAAAUUGGGAUUGAAGAUGAUUUUGGCAUAACAAAUACAGGGAGCUUUUGGCAGUAUCAACACUUGACUUGAGGUUGUUUUAAGUUAAAGGCAAACUAUAACACUAAACAAAAGCAUUAGCUGCGUAAUUUUUUAAUAAAGUUUAGGAAAAACUUUUGGUCAUUAGUGAAUGUUGGUAAAAAUUAGUGUGGGAUCUCAAUUACGACACAGAUUAUAGGAUAACAAAGAGGCUGAAUCCAGGUGCGCAGUAACUGAUACAGUGGGUAAAUGAAUCCUCUACAGAAUUAUACACAGGUGCUGAAAUACACUUGUAAUGAAUGCACAAUACUGGAGGUGCAUGUUUGAAGCAGGUUUGUUUUUUUGUCCUCUUUUCUUAUAAACACAGUCGGAAUUAUUGGAGAGUGGAUACAUGAACCAUUGCCAGAAUCUCCCCAGUUGUGCUCACUUGGAAACGGAUCUCUGCAACUACCAAAACUGAAAAUUUCUAACUUGCGUUGGCAGGUUUUUGUUGGCGCUUCAAGGACUCUUCUCUGCCAUUUGAAAAGCCAGAGACAGCCGGUUUUUGCUGAAAGGUUAAAUUUUCAGAAAAAAAUUCUGCUUCUCUUGAAACUUUAACCAAAAGAUUGAAUAACCUCCCUGGCUGCUCAGAAUAUUUAGUCGAGUUUUUUAUCUUCAUAGGGAUGGAAAAUAUCAGAAAUCUCUGAUAUGUUUGCCUUGUUGAAAGUUGUUGUGAUUAAUAUGUUUUCUGUUACUGCAUUAUGAUUUUCAUCUAUCAGAAAACUCUGAAAUCUUAAAGCCUGUAUUGCAAACAGCUCAUUAAAAAAAACCCCAAAGUAAGCUGUAGGGACAGAACAAUCCUCCAUGGAGCAGAAAUGGAGCAAGCUAUUUAUUUGAAGCUUACAUGAGGCUUCAGCUGGAAAACUUCCAGAUAAAUAUCCACUUAUAUUACAUUUUCUGUCUAUAACCAUACACUAAGCUGCUUUCCUGGCAAACACAAAAAGAAACUUGUAUACUCAAAAGGCUUUUAUGUUGGAAGAUGAAGUUGAUUUGUCUAACUCGGUCUGCUAAAGCUUCUUUUGAGUGAAGUUCAGAACAAGAUGAGGAUGGUGGAUUUUGUCUCUUAUUAGAGCAAUAAUGAGGGGCCUUUGAUAUAAACAGGAGAAACAAUCACAGCAGGAGAGAUUAUUUUCACUCGGGUAUUUGACCACAUGGGUGUUUCUCGGGGUGGCAAGGAGCGCCAGCUCUCAUCUGACAGGCUGCAUCAUGAGCUAUGGUGGAUCUGCAAUUGGGGCUUCAUGACUUCAGAUUUUCACCUCAGGAUUAUUGAGGCCGUUUAUAGAAAAUUUAAAAAUAACCGAUUUAUCAUCAGCCCUGUAAACAAAACUUCUUCAGAGAAGACAUUACCUCAUUAAACGGUUGUAUGUUACAAUUCUAUUUUUAUACUUUUGUGUCUCAGGUUUUCUUUUUCCUUAUUUUGUGUAUGCUACUACCACUACAUAAGUAACAAAACAUAUUCAAAACAAUUGAAGGGCUGCUUCAGUUAGCUUGCUAGCAUUUCUUCAUUUAUUCUCUGUUACAUAAUGUGAAACCAGUGUAAAAGACCACUGCUAUGUGCCACGGUAUUACCAUGUGCUUAUUUAAAGACCCACUUCAAUAAAAAAAACGUGUUUUUCUUGUUGUCUACAUGUUCAUAUGGCAUUUUUCUGAUACUAGAGGACAUAUCUUGAGGGAAAAAAGCGAGAAAUUGCAUUUUUGAGUAUUUCUGCAUUCAUACCACUGUGAAUCUCUGGCAGACCCAAAAGGCAGGAUCAUAUAGUGAGAUUUCAUAUGUAACCAAUUCAAGCUACGCCCCUGGAGCCCUGCUAUGCAAGCCAGGCUCGGAGAAAUAGAGAGGAUGAUCACGGAACAAACGUGUGCAUUAACGGAUUGAAAUGCUCGUAAGAAAGCUGAUCAUGAUAUUAGCUUUCAUCAUGCCCCUAAGGAUAUUUGUGUCCGAGAGCUGAUAGCUACACCGGCAAUGUUAGGCUGCAAGCUAACUCGAGGAGAAGUGUGCAGAGCAGCGCUCUCUCCGCCCACGACUCAGAGGCGAAUUGUUACUGACCUACUCGAAUUCUGCAGGAGAAAAGCCCUUGAAAAUGACACAGGUUAUGUGAAUUUAGCUAAAAACUUCAUAAUCACAGUUUAAAGACCACUAAUAACACUUUAAGUAGUAAAAAAAAAACAAAAAAACAACUGAGGUGGGACUUCAAGCACAACAUUAAUAUUUAUUUUCUUUAUAAAGAUGGUAGUAUGGGUGGCAGGAGACAGAUUUCCAUGCUAAAACAGCUGUAAGUAUGCCGUAAGUACGAGGGUUGAAGGGCUAGUAAGCAGCGCAGCAGUCAAUUUGAUACAGGCCCAACACCAAA
This is a non-coding RNA of Xyrichtys novacula (pearly razorfish), 9342 nucleotides long. The record is from the annotation of a GenBank genome assembly. NCBI's taxonomy places the organism in Eukaryota, Metazoa, Chordata, Actinopteri, Labriformes, Labridae.